This 164-nucleotide ribosomal RNA is filed under the name uncultured Actinomycetes bacterium. Its description in RNAcentral is "uncultured actinobacterium partial 16S ribosomal RNA". It matches the Rfam family "Bacterial small subunit ribosomal RNA", at positions 657 to 829 of the family's 1533-position model. The record is from RNAcentral. Lineage: Bacteria; Bacillati; Actinomycetota; Actinomycetes.
GAGACUGAAUCCUGGUGUAGCGGUGGAAUGCGCAGUAUCAGGAGGAACACCAAUAGGAAGGCAGGUCUCUGGGCAAUACCGACAUUGAGGAGCGAAAGCCUGGGGAGGAACAGGAUUAGAUACCCUGGUAGUCAGACCGUAAGGUGGGCACUAGUUGUGGAACC